RNAcentral lists this small RNA (1323 nucleotides) under Sus scrofa (pig). RNAcentral describes it as "sTF35121". The record is from RNAcentral. Lineage: Eukaryota; Metazoa; Chordata; Mammalia; Artiodactyla; Suidae.
CGGCACGAGGCACUGUCAGAAAUUGUUCACUGGAUGUAUUUUUCUAUUUCUUUUAUGUUGCUUCACCUUUUAAGUUACCUUGGUAAAAGUUUGCUGCCUUCUCAUGUUUUUAAAAUSAAUGCAAUGAAUAGCAGUCUUUUUAUUUCAACCUUUUAACACUUUGUAAAGGAAAGAAGUAAUGCAAAGAACAAAAUCCCAUUCGGAAACUGAUUGUCAGUUUGGCCGCUGUGGCAGCAGCAAGUCACAUAACCUCAUUUAGUUUCUUCAUCUACAAAAUGUGGAGAAUAACCUACCUCACAGAUGUGUGUGGGAAACUGUUUAAAGGCCCUUGUUUAAAUACAAGAUUUAUCAUAUUUAAUGUAAAUCCCUUCCUUUUUUUAUAGAUAUCUUUGCUACUGAUAGGAUGAGUAUCUUGAUUUUAGGUAAGUCGUACGUGCUAAGAAUGUAGCAGUAAAAAUGUUUUAAGAUGACAAUUUCACAAAUUAUGGUGUUCUCAUUUUUAAGUGACUUUUAAAAUUUCUUGCAAAUAUCAAAUAUCCAAAUAUCACAUAUUCACAAUUUCUUAAAAUGUUGGCUGGAGCUGCCUUAAUAUACCAAAAUACGGCUUUCCCUCAAAACUGUUCACAAAUAUCUAUGGUUGUACGAUGUUUUGAAUGUUUAAUGUAAAAUUGUUGUAGAACUAUGAACUCUACACAUAGUAAUCUUGUUUUAGGAAGAAUGCUUGUGUUCAGUAUCAUGUAUGCUUAAGUAUCAUACAGUGACUUUUGAGUGCAGCAAACAAAACUGAAAGUUGACAGCCAUUUGGUUGUGUCCAUGACAAUCAUAAGAAAAUAUAAGAUUGGAUAUUAAUCAAAAAAUUUUCAAGAACAUUUUGCAUUCAUUUUUUCUUAGCCCAUCUUUGAABACAAAAUCCCAGAGACUGAUAGAUUUACCCAUUGAAGCACUUGAUUACAUAUCUGUUAAAGUAGUUUUUUUAAACCGUUGAAAUUGGGAUYGUUUUUUAUAAUUCAACUCAGGAGUAGUAGAAAAAAGACCAGAAUCCUAGUGUUUAUGUUUUUUAAUAAUUAAAGAUUCAAGAUUCAGUUUUGUUUGUUGUGUAUUUUUUUGUGAGUGUUAAAUGAUCAAUGGGAAGGAUUUAUUUUCCAGUAUCUGUGUGGUAAAGAUGUCUGCUGGAAUUACACAGCAUUUCAUAGGUACAGGUUCUCCCUAGUUAAUAUUUGCACUGUACAGACUCAUAGGUAACAAACACAAAAGAGAAAAGCACUGAUUGCUUAUAAGCUUUUUUUCACAAAAUCAAAUUAAAGUCUCUGGUUAAUUUAAAAA